CACGUAGGGGGCGAGCGUUGUCCGGAUUUAUUGGGCGUAAAGAGCUCGUAGGCAGCUCGGUAAGUCGGGUGUGAAACCUCCAGGCUCAACCUGGAGACGCCACUCGAUACUGCCGUGGCUAGAGUCCGGUAGAGGAGCGUAGAAUUCCUGGUGUAGCGGUGAAAUGCGCAGAUAUCAGGAGGAAUACCAGCGGCGAAGGCGGCGCUCUGGGCCGGAACUGACGCUGAGGAGCGAAAGCGUGGGGAGCAAACAGG
RNAcentral lists this ribosomal RNA (254 nucleotides) under uncultured bacterium. RNAcentral describes it as "partial 16S ribosomal RNA". It matches the Rfam family "Bacterial small subunit ribosomal RNA", at positions 524 to 776 of the family's 1533-position model. The record is from RNAcentral.